CACGUGGAGAACCUGCCCCCUCCCCCGGGAUAGCCGCCCGAAAGGACGGGUAAUACCGGAUACCCCGGGGUGCCGCAUGGCACCCCGGCUAAAGCCCCGACGGGAGGGGAUGGCUCCGCGGCCCAUCAGGUAGACGGCGGGGUGACGGCCCACCGUGCCGACAACGGGUAGCCGGGUUGAUAGACCGACCGGCCAGAUUGGGACUGAGACACGGCCCAGACUCCUACAGGAGGCAGCAGUGGGGAAUCUUGCGCAAUGGGGGGAACCCUGACGCAGCGACGCCGCGUGCGGGACGGAGGCCUUCGGGUCGUAAACCGCUUUCAGCAGGGAAGAGUCAAGACUGUACCUGCAGAAGAAGCCCCGGCUAACUACGUGCCAGCAGCCGCGGUAAUACGUAGGGGGCGAGCGUUAUCCGGAUUCAUUGGGCGUAAAGCGCGCGUAGGCGGCCCGGCAGGCCGGGGGUCGAAGCGGGGGGCUCAACCCCCCGAAGCCCCCGGAACCUCCGCGGCUUGGGUCCGGUAGGGGAGGGUGGAACACCCGGUGUAGCGGUGGAAUGCGCAGAUAUCGGGUGGAACACCGGUGGCGAAGGCGGCCCUCUGGGCCGAGACCGACGCUGAGGCGCGAAAGCUGGGGGAGCGAACAGGAUUAGAUACCCUGGUAGUCCCAGCCGUAAACGAUGGACGCUAGGUGUGGGGGGACGAUCCCCCCGUGCCGCAGCCAACGCAUUAAGCGUCCCGCGUGGGGAGUACGGCAGCAAGGCUAAAACUCAAAGGAAUUGACGGGGGCCCCCACAAGCAGCGGAGCAUGUGGCUUAAUUCGAAGCAACGCGAACAACCUUACCAGGGCUUGACAUAUGGGUGAAGCGGGGGAGACCCCGUGCCCGAGAGGAGCCCAUACAGGUGGUGCAUGGCUGUUGUCAGCUCGUGUCGUGAGAUGUUGGGUUAAGUCCCGCAACGAGCGCAACCCCCGCUGCGUGUUGCCAUCGGGUGAUGCCGGGAACCCACGCGGGACCGCCGCCGUCAAGGCGGAGGAGGGCGGGGACGACGUCAAGUCAUCAUGCCCCUUAUGCCCUGGGCUGCACACGUGCUACAAUGGCCGGUACAGAGGGAUGCCACCCCGCGAGGGCGAGCGGAUCCUCGGAAA
This 1143-nucleotide ribosomal RNA is filed under the name uncultured bacterium. RNAcentral describes it as "bacterial SSU rRNA". It matches the Rfam family "Bacterial small subunit ribosomal RNA", at positions 114 to 1281 of the family's 1533-position model. The record is from RNAcentral.